Molecule: long non-coding RNA, 407 nt
Organism: Haliotis rubra (blacklip abalone)
Lineage: Eukaryota; Metazoa; Mollusca; Gastropoda; Lepetellida; Haliotidae
Exons: 5
Source: RefSeq, a predicted model, not a curated record
GUAUUUCAGCUAGAAAAUUCUGGUGACCGUUGUUGACAGUGGAUACAGCAAAAUUGAAAUGCUCGAUCCAGACCGAUAUUUUGGUGGGCACAACCUUCAAGAAAUAGAAGCAUUGGUGUUAUUUCAAAUGACAUCACGACUGCCUUAGAUUAAAACUUGAAGGAGGUGACAUUCCCCAGAAAAGUUGUUCACCAUACCAUCCCAUGUUGGGUUGCCCCCCAGUCCAGAUCAACAGUUUGUUGAGGAAAAGCUUGGAAUUCAGUUGAUGCCUAUUCUUGCUGUGAAGAGGAGCAAUCUGAACUGAAGGGGAGAACAGACUCCAAACAAGAGUAGAUGUGAUGACACCAAGAUAGAGCAGCCACAUAUUACCUCGAGAGGUUAACCGGAAUCCAAAUCAACAGAAUAUG